AAUGGGCGCAAGCCUGAUCCAGCCAUGCCGCGUGAGUGAUGAAGGCCCUAGGGUUGUAAAGCUCUUUCAGCGAGGAGGAUAAUGACGUUACUCGCAGAAGAAGCCCCGGCUAACUUCGUGCCAGCAGCCGCGGUAAUACGAAGGGGGCUAGCGUUGUUCGGAAUCACUGGGCGUAAAGCGCACGUAGGCGGACUGAUCAGUCAGGGGUGAAAUCCCGGGGCUCAACCCCGGAACUGCCUUUGAUACUGUCAGUCUUGAGUCCGAGAGAGGUGAGUGGAUCUCCGAGUGUAGAGGUGAAAUUCGUAGAUAUUCGGAAGAACACCAGUGGCGAAGGCGGCUCACUGGCUCGGUACUGACGCUGAGGUGCGAAAGCGUGGGGAGCAAACAGGAUUAGAUCCCCUGGUAGUCCACCCCGUAAACGAUGGAAGCUAGCCGUCAGGUAGCAUGCUAUUUGGUGGCGCAGCUAACGCAUUAAGCUCCCG
Molecule: ribosomal RNA, 482 nt
Filed under: Stappia sp. UCC
Lineage: Bacteria; Pseudomonadati; Pseudomonadota; Alphaproteobacteria; Hyphomicrobiales; Stappiaceae
Description: bacterial SSU rRNA
Rfam family: Bacterial small subunit ribosomal RNA
Source: RNAcentral